Long non-coding RNA from Plodia interpunctella (Indianmeal moth), 4644 nucleotides. RefSeq lists it as uncharacterized. The transcript is spliced from 4 exons. The record is from RefSeq and is a predicted model, not a curated record. Lineage: Eukaryota; Metazoa; Arthropoda; Insecta; Lepidoptera; Pyralidae.
GCUUAGUUCUUAUCUACCUCAUAAACUGAUUCUUGAUCAAGAGAGCUAGUCUUCUCAAUAUCUUAGAGACCAUUUAGUUAACAUUAUGAAGAACUAUAUUUUGAUUUUUGCCGUUGUCUUAGCCAUUGUUGCCGUAACAAAUGCGUCUGAGGAACAACGUGAAGAAGGAUCUCUCCACUUAGAAUCUGAAGGGCCUGUACUCCACAGAAUGCGUAGGGAAGAUUGCAACAACAGGGAGUGCCACAGACUGUGUAGACGGAUUGGGAUGGCUGGCGGCAUUUGCUCCAGGGACAAAUGCGACUGCGAUCUACUUUAGUGUGUGAUUAUUACCUUUAAGAUGUUCCACGAGAAAAUGUACCUUAUGGAGGGAAGUCACUUAAGACGUUUUAUAGUUCCUUUUUAUUAUAAAUGCAUAUUGCGAUGCGUCGUAAGCGACUGGUACGGUAUCUUCUCUCGAACCCAGCUCAAGUAUUUUACAGCUAGAAAAAAAAAAACAUCCGACCGAACCUUAAAAUGCAAAAAGAACAUCAAUACCAUCGCGCGACUCAAUAACAUUUUCGAAUUCCAUUUGCUCUCCGACCGACAGUGAGAGCGACUGUUGAAAUCUGUAAAAAUACCCGAAGCAAAGACCGCCACACCAAAGGCCGUGGGCUGCAAUAAAAAGUGAAUAAUAAAUCUGUCCGUCUGUUACGCACUUUGAGAAUUUUUAAGCGCGAUAUGAACGCGACUGUACCUGUGUUGCGGUGCGACAUAAAAACCGAUGGAUCUUUUGGAUGGAGUUUUUGGCCGGGACUUUGUUCGUGUUAAUUAACCACUAAUCACCAAUCCCAAAUUAUUAAUAGCCUUUUGUAAAAUAAAAAUUAACUGCAUACAAAUAAAUAUAAUUAAUAAAAAUUGUGUUAAUCUCAAAGUUCGAAAAAUACAGAUAUGAUGAAAAUCGUGUUAUUUUUCUAUAGGUUCAUUCUGGUCUCGGGGCGUCAUACCCAAGAAAUUCAACUGUAAAUACACUCAGAUUAGAUAGAGAGAGGUAGUGAUAAAAAUCGGAUAAUAACGUUGGUAAUAUUAAGUACUAAAAGUAUUCUUGGUUAUGAUGAUAAUGCAUCAUUAUGGAAAAUUCACAACUAUUUUGUUUAAAGAGUGGCUAAUUCAAACUAAAUUUAACACAGUUGUGUAGGUGUAGAUGUAAUUCUAAGGCUAAAUGGGAUCCCAAAGCUCGCCGGCUCUCACAGUUUGUAUUAAUUAUUAAUUACUGUUCCGAUCGCCCACGCGGCCGGCUGUUUCCCAGUGCUUUUUGACGCUGCGGCCGCGCUGUCAUUACAAUUUUUCAAAUUUUAACAAAGACAAGAAUAGCUUUAAUAUCUGACUUGAAAAUAAUUAAUCUGUACUGUGGUAAUGUACAUUUUGGGAAUUAUUAAUUCCUUCCUUAAGAAAAUUAAGAUCUGUGACAAAAACAGACAAAAAUAUAUAGUGUUUAUUUUAUCCUUAGUUGAAUUACUAUAUUAUUUAUCUCAAAUCGAAAAGAGGCUAUGUGUACACUACAUCAAAUGUCACAAAAAGUACAACUCCGGGAUAUUCUCGACAAAACACUGAAUGUGACACUCUGACAAAAGCGGUCUACAAUAGCAGCAAAAAAUGUAUUGAAUAGUUCGUUCGAUACCAGUUUGAACCGGCUGAACCUAUCGAGUUGAUGAGUCACUCCAUCCAACUUUCAUAUGAAUUGGUUUUAGGGUAUGUAGGUAAUAUCGUACAUACAGAGCUGAGUAAAACUCAAAUGAACUUGAGUUAAUGUCAAAUUGAUUAGUUUAGUUAUUUAUGUAGGUAAUAUCUGAUGCUUCUUCUCUAUUGAAAAUUUUCCGGUAAUGUGGGCUCACAGUAAAUUAACUCCUUCCGUUAAGCCUAACGGGACCUCAUUUCACUUUGGUAAUCAUCAUUAUCAACAGAAUUUGAAAGUCACCAUGACCCACCGCGCGGACCCAUUGCGGGUUGGCGGGUUCCAACGACUGCAAAUACAACCGGGACCAAUGGCUAUACAUGCCUUUCGAAUCACGGAGGAGUUCAAGAUAAUUUUGGUCACCCAUCCAAUGACAGACCAUUGUGAGAGUGUCUUAACCACCACUGUGAUAGUGGUGGUAGGCUGAGCGCGCUAACCAUUGCGCCAUUCGACUCCAACCACCUCAUGGGUAAUAGUCUGAUUCUAUUACUUACAUAAGUCAGAAUUUCCAAUCCCGCGGGAAACGGGCGCGAUAUUUGUCUUCAUUAGGUCCAAAUCUGUAGUGUCUUUCGAUCUUGACAUUGGCAAAAUGAUCGUCUAGCUGAAAGACGGAGCUAUAAAUAAAAAUGUAGUGAAAUGCUUGUGGAUUUUGGGAGUUUAAAUUUUGUGAUAUAUUAUAAGGUGUUAAGUUAACAUUCAAAUCAGAAGUUUUGUAUCAAAAAUUGAAGCAAAACUGAAGAAAACUAUAAUAAUUUAUAUAAACAUUUUAUCCAUUAAUAAUCCUUAUUUAUUAAAAACUAAUUAAUGUCAUAAACCAAGUACGGUAUUUGAUGUUGGUUGACUAUACGCCGCAUUUAUGGACUAAGGACCCAUUGGGAUGAGGCAUUGAACUAAAUCUUCUUCUAAAUAAAUAUUGCUCCAAUUCAGUUCCAGCGACUGUAAAGUGCAUAUAUAAUUCGAUUUCCCUUACGAGCAGGGACGGUGGCGAAUCGAGUUUGUCACAAAUAUUGCAUUCCACCAUUUUCACUCCACGGAAACUUAUCUGCCGUGUGCAGAUAAAAUCGCUUUACGCUCCAGUCUAUCCAAAAGGGGGAUCAGCUAAACGCAGCUAUUAUAUUCUAGUACAUAACAAAAAAAUUGUUUAUGAUAAAGCGUGUAUGCGAGAUGCGUGCAGUGUGGCGUGCCGCGUCGCGAUAUUAACAGCGUCGCCGAAUUCUUUGCGGGACGGCAUUUCAUGCUGGCGUUAUUGGACGCGGUACUCUGUGGGGACUACAAAACACCGUGUACUCAGUUUCAGGUACCUAUAUCAUCUGUACUUCGUGUUUGUUGUUAUAUUUUUAGGACCUGGAGAGUAUUAUGUAUUCUUUAUGAUAGAAUCACCUCAUGUCCUACCUGCUGUAGGUGAAAAAACUUUGUCAGCUGUCAUAGAUUAUUAUUUCGAGCCGUCAAGUUCUUUCCUCUUAGUUCUUUUAUAAUUUAACUUAAUUCUCCUCCGUUCAUUCUUUCCAUUCCUCAUAAUUUAGUGUAUACAAAAUAACGAGUUUUUAAAUUUUGUCAAAUUCUAUCUCAUGCGCCUACACAUGAGAUAGAAUUUUUUCUAACAUUUUCUUUAGAUAUGAGAGCUUCCGAGCUUUUUGAGUUUACUGUUGAUACUUUUUUACCCUUUCAAAGCCGUCUGUUACAACACCUGCGUUGCUUAAAUUAUGUAAAUACUGCUUAAUUCGAAGUCCCUCUCAACAUUUUUAUAUUCGCUCGUAUUUUUUGGCCGUCUAGCGCAGAAAAUUACUUUUUGAUACAUCUUCGGAUAAAGCGGUCCAUUGAGUUUGUGAAAGAUGUGGUUUAGUUGAAAAAUAUUGUGUAUUUUUCUAUUAGUGAUAGUGUUGCCUGUGCCCGUCCCGGCUUGGAUAAAACUAUAAUAAAUUAUAGAAUUAAACCUCCCUAUGGAAUCCCAGUAUCUAUUGGUGAAAACCGUACAAAUUCCGUCGGGUAGUUUUUGAGUUUAUCGCUUACAGACAGACGCACGCAACAGAGAUAUAAGGAAUUAUUCUUAUAUAAUAGCUAUAAUAGCUUUUAUAUUCCCAUAAUACGUACAUUUUUAAACUAUUUGCGGCCUUUUAUUGUGUUGCAUGAGAAGUCCGUGUAGGGUAGGGAUGCCGACGACCAUGCGAAGUGGAGACGAAAAAGUAGGAAAGCGAACCCUGGGCUCCGACGUUCAAUGGCUGAGGAAGUAAUCAGGAAAACGCUGAGACAAGAGAGAGAGAAAGAGAGUGUCGCAUGAAAAGUAUUUUUUUACAAAUUUACUAAAUUUAAUUAAACAUAUAUUGAAUCAACAAAUGAUUUUAUCAGUGGUUUUGUAUUAUUAUCAUAAUCGGAAAAGUGCAAUGAUUAACGAUCGAAGUAUAGAUAGUUCACUUAAAACUUCAAGUUGGGUUGUUUUUGUCGCAUCUGUCUCAUUAAUCAAAGAUGGCAAAUACUGCGCCCUUUCCGUGUAGAUAAUUUUCUACGUGGCCCGAAAAAAUAUUUUUAUUUAUGAGUGUAUCCUAUUAAAGCGUGUCCAUUGUGUCGUGUUUUGUGCGAGUUAUCUUAUUUGUAUUGCUGCAACACACACUUAUUUAUUUUCAUUGGCUUUGUUUUUUAUAUAUAAUCUAUGCCUUGUUGCUGUUCUGCACCGUUAAUUUGUAUUUGUGUAUUUGUAGCUAUUGUACAAAUAAAGAUUUAUCUUUCUAGAUAUCAAUUUUUGUCCCAAAAAUUUCUAAUGUACGUAAAUUAAGUAAAAUGCUUUUUUUUCUUGUCGUAGAAUACUGUCGAUGUAGACAAUAUGUUCGAUCUAACUUUAUAAUAAUGUUUUAAUAUUAAAAAGUGAAAUUUUGUUUUUGAGAGUAAAUUCUGUUAAUCUUUGUGGCAAUUUGUAAUCAUGAAAAUGACUAAAGUUG